This 490-nucleotide ribosomal RNA is filed under the name uncultured bacterium. RNAcentral's name for it is "partial 16S ribosomal RNA". It matches the Rfam family "Bacterial small subunit ribosomal RNA", at positions 28 to 507 of the family's 1533-position model. The record is from RNAcentral.
GAUGAACGCUAGCUACAGGCUUAACACAUGCAAGUCGAGGGGAAACGAUGAGAGAGCUUGCUCUCUUAGGCGUCGACCGGCGCACGGGUGAGUAACGCGUAUCCAACCUACCCAUUACAGGGGGAUAACCUUGCGAAAGUAAGACUAAUACCCCAUGGCAUUUUAUGGUGGCAUCAUUAUAGGAUUAAAGAUUUAUUGGUAAUGGAUGGGGAUGCGUCUGAUUAGCUUGUUGGCGGGGUAACGGCCCACCAAGGCAACGAUCAGUAGGGGUUCUGAGAGGAAGGUCCCCCACAUUGGAACUGAGACACGGUCCAAACUCCUACGGGAGGCAGCAGUGAGGAAUAUUGGUCAAUGGGCGAGAGCUUGAACCAGCCAAGUAGCGUGCAGGAUGACGGCCCUAUGGGUUGUAAACUGCUUUUAUAGGGGAAUAAAGUGAGCUACGUGUAGUUUAUUGCAGGUACCCUAUGAAUAAGGACCGGCUAAUUCCGUG